Molecule: ribosomal RNA, 253 nt
Filed under: uncultured bacterium
Lineage: Bacteria
Description: partial 16S ribosomal RNA
Rfam family: Bacterial small subunit ribosomal RNA
Source: RNAcentral
GACGGAGGGUGCAAGCGUUGUUCGGAAUUACUGGGCGUAAAGGGCGCGUAGGCGGUUUGCUAAGUUCGGUGUGAGAGCCCCUGGCUCAACUGGGGAACGGCGCUGGAAACUGGCAGACUAGAGUACCGGAGAGGAGGGUGGAAUUCCUGGUGUAGCGGUGAAAUGCGUAGAUAUCAGGAGGAACACCGGUGGCGAAGGCGGCCCUCUGGACGGAUACUGACGCUGAGGCGCGAAAGCGUAGGGAUCAAACAGG